GCAGACAUGGUGUAAUUGGCAGCAUGAGAUCCUUCCAAGUUCUGGGUUCGGGUUCAAAUCCCGAUGUCUGCUCUA
Molecule: transfer RNA, 75 nt
Filed under: hydrothermal vent metagenome
Description: tRNA-Gly-TCC
Rfam family: tRNA
About the family: Transfer RNA (tRNA) molecules are approximately 80 nucleotides in length. Their secondary structure includes four short double-helical elements and three loops (D, anti-codon, and T loops).
Source: RNAcentral